Molecule: ribosomal RNA, 524 nt
Filed under: uncultured bacterium
Lineage: Bacteria
Description: partial 16S ribosomal RNA
Rfam family: Bacterial small subunit ribosomal RNA
Source: RNAcentral
GACGAACGCUGGCGGCGUGCUUAACACAUGCAAGUCGAACGGACAGACAGAGAGCUUGCUCUCUUGAAGUUAGUGGCAAACGGGUGAGUAACGCGUAAUCAACCUGCCCUUCAGAGGGGGAUAACAACGGGAAACCGUUGCUAAUACCGCGUACGAUUCAUGAACGGCAUCGUUUAUGAAUGAAAGGUGGCCUCUAUGUAUAAGCUAUCGCUGAAGGAGGGGAUCGCGUCUGAUUAGCUAGUUGGAGGGGUAACGGCCCACCAAGGCAAUGAUCAGUAGCCGGUCUGAGAGGAUGAACGGCCACAUUGGGACUGAGACACGGCCCAAACUCCUACGGGAGGCAGCAGUGGGGAAUCUUCCGCAAUGGACGAAAGUCUGACGGAGCAACGCCGCGUGAGUGACGAAGGUCUUCGGAUUGUAAAGCUCUGUUAAUCGGGACGAAAGAGUUCUGCGUGAAUAAUGCAGAAAAGUGACGGUACCGGAAUAGAAAGCCACGGCUAACUACGUGCCAGCCGCCGCCGUAA